UAAUGUCUGGGAAACUGCCUGAUGGAGGGGGAUAACUACUGGAAACGGUAGCUAAUACCGCAUAACGUCGCAAGACCAAANAGGGGGACCUUCGGGCCUCUUGCCAUCAGAUGUGCCCAGAUGGGAUUAGCUAGUAGGUGGGGUAACGGCUCACCUAGGCGACGAUCCCUAGCUGGUCUGAGAGGAUGACCAGCCACACUGGAACUGAGACACGGUCCAGACUCCUACGGGAGGCAGCAUG
RNAcentral lists this ribosomal RNA (241 nucleotides) under uncultured bacterium. RNAcentral's name for it is "partial 16S ribosomal RNA". It matches the Rfam family "Bacterial small subunit ribosomal RNA", at positions 111 to 353 of the family's 1533-position model. The record is from RNAcentral.